GAUGAACGCUGGCGGCGUGCCUAAUACAUGCAAGUCGAGCGAACGGACGAGAAGCUUGCUUCUCUGAUGUUAGCGGCGGACGGGUGAGUAACACGUGGAUAACCUACCUAUAAGACUGGGAUAACUUCGGGAAACCGGAGCUAAUACCGGAUAAUAUUUUGAACCGCAUGGUUCAAAAGUAAAAGACGGUCUUGCUGUCACUUAUAGAUGGAUCCGCGCUGCAUUAGCUAGUUGGUAAGGUAACGGCUUACCAAGGCAACGAUGCCUAGCCGACCUGAGAGGGUGAUCGGCCACACUGGAACUGAGACACGGUCCAGACUCCUACGGGAGGCAGCAGUAGGGAAUCUUCCGCAAUGGGCGAAAGCCUGACGGAGCAACGCCGCGUGAGUGAUGAAGGUCUUCGGAUCGUAAAACUCUGUUAUUAGGGAAGAACAUAUGUGUAAGUAACUGUGCACAUCUUGACGGUACCUAAUCAGAAAGCCACGGCUAACUACGUG
This 497-nucleotide ribosomal RNA is filed under the name uncultured bacterium. RNAcentral describes it as "partial 16S ribosomal RNA". It matches the Rfam family "Bacterial small subunit ribosomal RNA", at positions 28 to 507 of the family's 1533-position model. The record is from RNAcentral.